Sorex fumeus (smoky shrew) is the source of this 261-nucleotide long non-coding RNA. RefSeq lists it as uncharacterized. NCBI's taxonomy places the organism in Eukaryota, Metazoa, Chordata, Mammalia, Eulipotyphla, Soricidae. The transcript is spliced from 3 exons. The record is from RefSeq and is a predicted model, not a curated record.
GAAGAUGAAGAAGAUGUAGAAGAGGAGAAUGAAGAACCACCCAUAUUUCAAGAAAUUGAAGUGGAAGAUUCUCUCCAGGAUGAGGAACAGGAAGAAUUUGUGGAUGAGCCUUCUAUGGAAGAGGACAUGCCAUCUAAUCCUGAUUCAGGAGACAGACAGUAGAAGCCUGAGAAGAAGAUAAGCAACACAUACUAUUGUUAUGUUGGUAAUGUGACAUGUCACAUUAUCUCAAUAAAGCUCUGAAGUUUAUGUAAAAGUAAA